Molecule: long non-coding RNA, 259 nt
Organism: Thamnophis elegans (Western terrestrial garter snake)
Lineage: Eukaryota; Metazoa; Chordata; Lepidosauria; Squamata; Natricidae
Exons: 2
Source: RefSeq, a predicted model, not a curated record
CCCGCCGGCGAUCGCAAAAUCAGCACCGCCGUCCGACUCGAAGGUUUGGACAAGAUUGAGGUGUGACCAAGAACAAUGAAGAUCGGCAAACAAAAUGGGAAGGAAACCCACAAGUGACUUCCAAAGACUGUCGGAAAAAUAAAUCUGCAGUGUAUUAAUUUGAUGUGUUUAUUUCCCUGUCCCUAGAUGUACUUUUUGAGUUAUUCAAAGCUGUUGCCGAUAAUUACAUUUUUUAAAAACAAAUGUGAUGAUGUCCUUU